This 893-nucleotide ribosomal RNA is filed under the name uncultured archaeon. Its description in RNAcentral is "bacterial SSU rRNA". It matches the Rfam family "Archaeal small subunit ribosomal RNA", at positions 7 to 887 of the family's 1478-position model. The record is from RNAcentral.
GUUGAUGCUGCCGGACCCGACUGCUAUUUGGGUGAGGAUAAGCCAUGCGAGUCGAAUGGGAUACCUAAAUUUCCCAUGGCGAACUGCUCAGUAACACAUGAUCAACUUACCCUAUUGAGAAAGAUAACCUCGGGAAACUGAGGAUAAUAUUUCAUAGUUGAAUUGGCUUGGAAAAGUUUUUCAACAAAAGGGAUAGGGAAAAUGGUCUCUAUCCGCUAUAGGAUAGGAUCGUGUUCGAUUAUGGUAGUUGGUGAGGUAAAGGCUCACCAAGCCGAUAAUCGAUAGGGGCCGUGAGAGCGGGAGCCCCGAGAUGGGUACUGAGACAACGACCCAGGCCUUACGAGGCGCAGCAGGUACGAAACCUCCACAAUACACGAAAGUGUGAUGGGGUUACCCAAAGUGUUCAUUAUUGAACAGUGGUAGGAGAGUAAUGUCCCCUACUAGAAAGGAGAGUGCAAGGCUGGUGCCAGCCGCCGCGGUAAAACCAGCUCUUCAAGUGGUCGGGAUAAUUAUUGGGCUUAAAGUGUCCGUAGCCGGUUUAGUAAGUUCCUGGUAAAAUCGGGUAGCUUAACUAUCUGUAUGCUAGGAAUACUACUAUACUAGAGGGCGGGAGAGGUCUGAGGUACUACAGGGGUAGGGGUGAAAUCUUAUAAUCCUUGUAGGACCCCCAGUGGCGAAGGCGUCAGACUGGAACGCGCCUGACGGUGAGGGACGAAAGCCAGGGGAGCGAACCGGAUUAGAUACCCGGGUAGUCCUGGCUGUAAACGAUGCAUACUAGGUGAUGGUACGGCUAUGAGCCAUAUCAGUGCCGUAGGGAAACCGUUAAGUGUGCCGCCUGGGAAGUACGGUCGCAAGGCUGAAACUUAAAGGAAUUGGCGGGAAGGGCGAAUUCG